Molecule: ribosomal RNA, 740 nt
Filed under: uncultured bacterium
Lineage: Bacteria
Description: bacterial SSU rRNA
Rfam family: Bacterial small subunit ribosomal RNA
Source: RNAcentral
GAUGAACGUGGCGGCGUGCCUAAUACAUGCAAGUCGAACGAAGAGCUUAAAGUAGCAAUACUUUGAUAACUCUUAGUGGCGAACGGGUGAGUAACGCGUUGGUGACCUACCCCAAAGAUAGGGAUAACAGUUCGAAAGGACUGCUAAUACCUAAUGUUAUCAUUUGGCUUAGAUGCCUUUUGAUUAAAGGAGCUUGCUCCACUUUGGGAGGGGCCUGCGUCCCAUCAGCUAGUUGGUAGGGUAAUGGCCUACCAAGGCUAUGACGGGUAGGGGACCUGAGAGGGUGGCCCCCCACAAUGGAACUGAAACACGGUCCAUACACCUACGGGUGGCAGCAGUAGGGAAUAUUGGUAAUCUGCGAAAGCGGGAACCAGCAACGCCGCGUGCGCGAAGAAGGCCUUCGGGUUGUAAAGCGCUUUUCGGGAGGAAGAGGAAGGACUGUACUCCCGGAAUAAGUCUCGGCUAACUACGUGCCAGCAGCCGCGGUAAUACGUAGGAGGCUAACGUUAUCCGGAUUUACUGGGCGUAAAGCGCGUGCAGGCGGUUCGUUAAGUUGGACGUGAAAGCUCCCGGCUCAACUGGGAGAGGUCGUUCAAUACUGGCGGACUUGAGGAUGGUAGAGGGAGGUGGAAUUCCGGGUGUAGUGGUGAAAUGCGCAGAUAUCCGGAGGAACACCAGUGGCGAAAGCGGCCUCCUGGACCAUUCCUGACGCUCAGACGCGAAAGCUAGGGUAGCAAACG